CCUACGGGUGGCAGCAGUGAGGAAUAUUGGUCAAUGGGCGCGAGCCUGAACCAGCCAAGUAGCGUGAAGGAUGACGGCCCUACGGAUUGUAAACUUCUUUUAUAGAGGAGUAAAAUGCGGCACGUGUGCCUUUUUGUAUGUACUUUAUGAAUAAGGAUCGGCUAACUCCGUGCCAGCAGCCGCGGUAAUACGGAGGAUCCGAGCGUUAUCCGGAUUUAUUGGGGUUAAAGGGAGCGUAGGCGGGUUGUUAAGUCAGAUGUGAAAGUCUGUGGCUUAACCUUAGAAUUGCAGUUGAUACUGGUAGUCUUGAGUAAGGGAGAGGUAGGUGGAAUUCGUGGUGUAGCGGUAAAAUGCGUAGAUAUCAAGAAGAAUUCUGAUUGCGAAGGCAGCCUACUAGAACGUAACUGACGCUGAUGCGCGAAAGCGUGGGGAGCAAACAGGAUUAGAUACCCCUGUAGUC
RNAcentral lists this ribosomal RNA (460 nucleotides) under uncultured bacterium. RNAcentral describes it as "partial 16S ribosomal RNA". It matches the Rfam family "Bacterial small subunit ribosomal RNA", at positions 338 to 795 of the family's 1533-position model. The record is from RNAcentral.